This 116-nucleotide small RNA is filed under the name Marmota monax (woodchuck). The record is from RNAcentral. Lineage: Eukaryota; Metazoa; Chordata; Mammalia; Rodentia; Sciuridae.
GCCAGCUGCAGUGAUAUGGAUCUAUAGUCCAAAUUACUUGGGAGAUUGAGGCAGAAGGAUCGCUUGAGCCCAGGAGUUCAGGGCCAGCCUGGACAAUAUAGCGAGGCCUGUCUCUU